This 1319-nucleotide long non-coding RNA is filed under the name Gallus gallus (chicken). RNAcentral describes it as "lncRNA (ENSGALG00010000745.1)". Lineage: Eukaryota; Metazoa; Chordata; Aves; Galliformes; Phasianidae. The record is from RNAcentral.
ACGGGGGAGGGACACGUUCAAUGAACAUCACACUCAAUGGCAAAUAACCUUAAGCUUCCUUUGGCCAAAUCAGGCAGAAAAGGCAUCCUUCAAAUCCAGAAGGUAAACUCCACCUACUCUUUCCCUAACUUGGUUAAUAACACGUAUGCAUUUACCACCACGGAGUGUAUGCAUUCAACAGUUCUACUGCUAUCUUACUUGCUAUCCAAUUCUUAUAUACUUGCUAUCCAAUUUUUCAUCAGCAAGAUUGGAGUACUGUAUUUGGAUUCACAUUCAAUUAGUAAUCCGAAAUCCAAAAGUUAUCAUUAUUUCUUUUAUCCUUCUACAGUUGCAUAUCCUCAAAGGGCACUGCUUUACCCUGACUGGGCUAGCUCUAGCUCUUGCUUAGGGCUGCCUUUUGGCUCUACCAGGUAUCCCUGAUACCCACACUCUUAAGCAAACCUUAUUUCAGAUUUCGGCAACUUCUGGGGGUUCAACAUUUUUUCCCAGUUUGUGUUAAAGCCCGACUUACAAUUCUCCAUCGGUUAAUAUUGUUUGACGUUUAGCUCCAGUUUUAUUCAAGUUAACCUUUGCAUCCAUUUGUUCUAAUAAGUCUUGCCAGAAUAACAGUUUUGGAGAGCCUGGCAUGUACAAGAAUUUAUGUAUUCCUACUUAUUUUCUCAGCCUAUAUUUAAUUGAUUCCUAAAGGUAAGCUUUUUCUUCUUGGGCAGUAGCUCCUACCACUGCUGCAAAAUCAUCUACGGGUGGUAAGAGGCACCCGUCCCCACCAGAAAAUAAACCUCGUUAUCCUGCUCUCCUAGCUGCAAUUUAAACAGAGGAUCUGAUUUCUGUCCUCCUUGGUUCUGACAUCCCUGUUACGCCUUGCCUUCCUCAGCCUGCGUCCUUCCCAAACCUUUCACUCUCCAAACUCUCAUUAUUACAUAAACCACUACCAUUACAUUUCAGUCUCACCUCCUCCUCUCCGAAGGCUUCCAGUGCUAACACUGCAAUUUCGGGUUUCCUAGAUAUCUGCGCAUGAAGGCUAUUCUCACUUCCAGUGCCCCUUCCUCUCCACCUCCCCCCAUUCACAAGUAACGCUGUUUACAACAGCAGUCUCUGACCCCGGCUCUCUCUCACUCUGAGAGUUCUGCUCUCGGGGGAACCGUGUGGGGGGGGUUGCUCUCAUAGCAGCGCAGAUAAACUCACUUUCUCUUUAACCCUUUUCGCUUUGUCCACUAUUCAUACCUUCAGUCACACUUCUGUAUGCCAUCAGACCAUCAAAACUGUUUGUCCCAUUCCCUUCAGAACCCACAGAUCAAACAAUACAGUUCUUCAGUUUC